Long non-coding RNA from Aethalodelphis obliquidens (Pacific white-sided dolphin), 2139 nucleotides. RefSeq lists it as uncharacterized. The record is from RefSeq and is a predicted model, not a curated record. The transcript is spliced from 5 exons. NCBI's taxonomy places the organism in Eukaryota, Metazoa, Chordata, Mammalia, Artiodactyla, Delphinidae.
UCCUAACCCUUUAGGUCCCUCUCUGUGGCCUGUCGCAGCCUAGGGUGACCCAGGUCUCUUCCCUUCCCUUCCUUCCUCGUAAAGAGGGCCUGGACCUGAGGGAGCAGAAAGGGGGGGGGGCUCCAAAUAGGAAGGACCAGAAGGAGCAGCUCUGGGGGGAGUCUCAAGGAGGGAGAAGAGAAUCUUAAGACUGCCUGCCAGACACCCCACACAGAGGAGGAGGUAGCCUGGUAGAGUGGGAUUUUACUUCCCCUCCGCAAGUGAUGCCAGUUGAGUGCCCGCCUAUUCCUUCAGCUGAGAUUCCCCCCUACCAGGCUGGCUGGUACCGACUGCAAGUUACUGUAAGUCCGGCAGGAAUGCCCACGAGGGUACUGUCUCUGGCCAGCAGAGUGCCCACUCUCUCCCAGGAUGUGGUUAGCCACUCUCGCAUCCCCCACACCCAGCAAGAGAAGAGUGGUGGAUCCUUCAGUGAGAUGGAAGAGUGUGUGAGGCUGGACUCGUCUGGAAAGGAUGCCAGCCUGCCUCUUCCACACCAAGAGCAAGCCAAGUGUUUGAAGUUGAGAUUGAGGAUCAGUGACUCGCCCAAGAUUACACACCUGUUUCUUCUUUAAAAGAACAUGGACCAGGUUCCCCAAGGGCUGAGCCAGGGCCAUUUAAGUGAUGUGCUCAGUUAUCUAAAAAAGCCUUUCUUCUACAUCAAGAACAGGAGUUGUCAUUUCAGGCCAUGAGGAAUCAUGGUGCCAAGCAGGAAACCAAGAGGCUACAGGAGUAUUUUAGGAAGAUUGAUUCGACAGCAGUGAGUGGGAUGGAUGGGAGAAAAGCGAGGCCAAAGCUGUGAGGACCAGUUAGGAGGUUCCUGCCACGAUGUCACCUUGAGACACCUCCAGGAGGACAGCAGAAGCAGAAAGGACAUUGAGAAGGAGAGAUCUCGUGAAGAGAAAGAAGCCAGAGAAAGAGGAAAAAUGCACGGCAGCUUUUGUCUGUUAGGUGUCCAGUAAAUUAGGUUGAGUGGAUGGAUGGAUGGAUGAGACUUAGGGAAACUGCACAUCCAGUCACCGCAUGGUCCUUCUUACAAGUCCUGAACAACUCUCCCGGCUCCCCGGUCCUUUAACCCAUCCACAAGAUCUCACGUUAUAAACGACGACGUUCCCAGCCAAGGAGGAAGAAAUAAGUGUGGCACUAGAGAGAAACUGGGAAGUAACUUGCUCUGUCGCAGAAAGGUGGAAAAAUGGAUGGAAUGGAAUCCCGUCCUCCCUGCCCGCCCCCGCCCCCCGCCCCAUACCUCUUCUCAUUUGCUGAAGCCCUGCUCUGAACUCAGUCAGGAUUUCUUCCCACCCGGCCUCCCGUGGGGUGGUCAAUAUGGCAUUUGUGGUUGGGCUUAGAAAGGUAAAGUACCUACAAAGGCCCAAGGAGCCAAGAAUUCUGCUGGCUCAGGCUCUCUUUCCUCUUGUUCUUUGCCCACCUGUCAAAGGAACUCUGCAGUGGGGCCCCUCUCAAGCCAGGGAGGGGAAAGGCCAAAGAAAGUGUUGGAGAUGGUCCAUAUAGGGCCGUGGCUUUGCUUACUGCUCAGGCUCAACCACCACUUAGCAGCUGAACCAAUAACUCUGGCCUGAAGGCUGCAUUGUGGUUUCAUCAUAGAGAACUCAUGGGCCUGUGUAUCCCGACCCUGGGUUCCGGUUCUAGCUGUCACUGAGUAUGCCCAGUAUAUAACACGACAUCUGUAGGUAAUAGGUGCUCACUAAAUAUCUGAUGGAGUGAGUGAAUGAAUGAAAUAAUUAGCUGUGACCUUGGACAGAUUACUUCUCCCUCUGGAUCUUGAUUUCUACAUCUGCAAAAGGGGCAUUAUAAUGCUGGCCCUACCUCUCACUCCAAGCCAUCCCCCAGACCUCAGGAGGAAAUGAAUGGAUGGAUGUUUAUGCACAGUAAGGUCUGGGCACACACCAGUAGCUGACAUUUGAGCCACUUCCCCUCAGGUCACAUUACUGCUUGCUCUGUGGUUAGGAUGGGCCCUAUCCUUAGGCUCCUGAAAGUCCUAACCCAUGGCAGAGUCCUAAUUUUUUUUUUUAAUUACUUGAUUUAUUUAUUUUUGGCUGCACUGGGUCUUCGUUGCUGCACGCGGGCUUUCUCUAGUUGUGGAGG